CAGAGUGUAGCUAAAAUAGCAAAGCAUCUCCCUUACACCGAGAAGGUAUCCGUGCAACUCGGAUCACCCUGA
RNAcentral lists this transfer RNA (72 nucleotides) under Stylephorus chordatus (tube-eye). RNAcentral describes it as "tRNA-Val". It matches the Rfam family "tRNA". From Rfam's summary of the family: Transfer RNA (tRNA) molecules are approximately 80 nucleotides in length. Their secondary structure includes four short double-helical elements and three loops (D, anti-codon, and T loops). Lineage: Eukaryota; Metazoa; Chordata; Actinopteri; Stylephoriformes; Stylephoridae. The record is from RNAcentral.